GUGGGGAAUAUUGGACAAUGGGCGAAAGCCUGAUCCAGCCAUGCCGCGUGUGUGAAGAAGGUCUUCGGAUUGUAAAGCACUUUAAGUUGGGAGGAAGGGCAGUAAGUUAAUACCUUGCUGUUUUGACGUUACCGACAGAAUAAGCACCGGCUAACUUCGUGCCAGCAGCCGCGGUAAUACGAAGGGUGCAAGCGUUAAUCGGAAUUACUGGGCGUAAAGCGCGCGUAGGUGGUUUUGUAAGUUGGAGGUGAAAUCCCCGGGCUCAACCUGGGGACUGCCUCCAAAACUGCAUGACUAGAGUACGGUAGAGGGUAGUGGAAUUUCCUGUGUAGCGGUGAAAUGCGUAGAUAUAGGAAGGAACACCAGUGGCGAAGGCGAAUACCUGGACUGAUACUGACACUGAGGUGCGAAAGCGUGGGGAGCAAACAGGAUUAGAAACCCGGGUAGUCC
This 450-nucleotide ribosomal RNA is filed under the name uncultured bacterium. RNAcentral describes it as "bacterial SSU rRNA". It matches the Rfam family "Bacterial small subunit ribosomal RNA", at positions 354 to 796 of the family's 1533-position model. The record is from RNAcentral.